GAUGAACGCUGGCGGCGUGCCUAAUACAUGCAAGUCGAGCGAACAGAUAAGGAGCUUGCUCCUUUGAAGUUAGCGGCGGACGGGUGAGUAACACGUGGGUAACCUACCUAUAAGACUGGGAUAACUUCGGGAAACCGGAGCUAAUACCGGAUAACAUUUAGAACCGCAUGGUUCUAAAGUGAAAGAUGGUUUUGCUAUUACUUAUAGAUGGACCCGCGCCGUAUUAGCUAGUUGGUAAGGUAACGGCUUACCAAGGCGACGAUACGUAGCCGACCUGAGAGGGUGAUCGGCCACACUGGAACUGAGACACGGUCCAGACUCCUACGGGAGGCAGCAGUAGGGAAUCUUCCGCAAUGGGCGAAAGCCUGACGGAGCAACGCCGCGUGAGUGAUGAAGGGUUUCGGCUCGUAAAACUCUGUUAUUAGGGAAGAACAAAUGUGUAAGUAACUGUGCACAUCUUGACGGUACCUAAUCAGAAAGCCACGGCUAACUACGUG
RNAcentral lists this ribosomal RNA (497 nucleotides) under uncultured bacterium. RNAcentral describes it as "partial 16S ribosomal RNA". It matches the Rfam family "Bacterial small subunit ribosomal RNA", at positions 28 to 507 of the family's 1533-position model. The record is from RNAcentral.